Long non-coding RNA from Oncorhynchus keta (chum salmon), 3184 nucleotides. RefSeq lists it as uncharacterized. Lineage: Eukaryota; Metazoa; Chordata; Actinopteri; Salmoniformes; Salmonidae. The record is from RefSeq and is a predicted model, not a curated record. The transcript has 9 exons.
CAGACAGAUUAUAACAAGAUAUUAUAAGAUAUUAUAACAAGAUAUGAAUGUUCUAUCUGCCAUAUUGACUUAUCAUCAAUUAACUUUCAAAAUGGAAAUAAGAUGCUCCAAAACGGAAAAUGGGAAGAGAUAUGUAGGUCUCAGGGUUAAGGUCUCAGGGUUAAGGUCUCAGGGUUAAGGUCUCAGGGUUAAGGUCUCAGGGUUACGGUCUCAGGGUUAAGGUCUCAGGGUUAAGGUCUCAGGGUUAAGGUCUCAGGGUUAAGGUCUCAGGGUUAAGGUCUCAGGGUUAAGGUCUCAGGGUUAAGGUCUCAGGGUUAAGGUCUCAGGGUUACGGUCUCAGGGUUAAGGUCUCAGGGUUAAGGUCUCAGGGUUAAGGUCUCAGGGUUAAGGUCUCAGGGUUACGGUCUCAGGGUUAAGGUCUCAGGGUUAAGGUCUCAGGGUUAAGGUCUCAGGGUUAAGGUCUCAGGGUUAAGGUCUCAGGGUUAAGGUCUCAGGGUUAAGGUGUCAGGGUUAAGGUCUCAGGGUUAAGGUCUCAGGGUUAAGGUGUCAGGGUUACGGUCUCAGGGUUAAGGUCUCAGGGUUACGGUCUCAGGGUUAACGUCUCAGGGUUAAGGUCUCAGGGUUAAGGUCUCAGGGUUAAGGUGUCAGGGUUAAGGUCUCAGGGUUGCGGUGUCAGGGUUAAGGUCUCCGGGUUAAGGUCUCCGGGUUAAGGUGUCAGGGUUACGGUCUCAGGGUUAAGAUGUCAGGGUUAAGGGUGUCAGGGUAACGGUGUCAGGGUUACGGUCUCCGGGUUAAGGUCUCAGGGUUACGGUGUCAGGGUUACGGUCUCAGGGUUAAGGUGUCAGGGUUACGGUCUCAGGGUUAAGGUGUCAGGGUUACGGUCUCAGGGUUAAGGUGUCAGGGUUACGGUCUCAGGGUUAAGGUCUCAGGGUUACGGUCUCAGGGUUAAGGUGUCAGGGUUACGGUCUCAGGGUUAAGGUCUCAGGGUUACGGUCUCAGGGUUACGGUCUCAGGGUUAAGGUGUCAGGGUUAAGGUUUCAGGGUUAAGGUGUCAGGGUUACGGUCUCAGGGUUAAGGUCUCAGGGUUAAGGUGUCAGGGUUACGGUCUCAGGGUUAAGGUCUCAGGGUUACGGUCUCAGGGUUACGGUCUCAGGGUUAAGGUGUCAGGGUUACGGUCUCAGGGUUACGGUGUCAGGGUUAAGGUGUCAAGGUUAAGGUGUCAGGGUUAAGGUGUCAGGGUUAAGGUCUCAGGGUUAAGGUGUCAGGGUUACGGUCUCAGGGUUAAGGUGUCAGGGUUAAGGUGUCAGGGUUAAGGUUUCAGGGUUACGGUCUCAGGGUUAAGGUGUCAGGGUUAAGGUCUCAGGGUUAAGGUCUCAGGGUUAAGGUCUCAGGGUUACGGUGUCAGGGUUAAGGUCUCUGGGUUAAGGUGUCAGGGUUAAGGUCUCAGGGUUAAGGUCUCAGGGUUAAGGUCUCAGGGUUAAGGUCUCAGGGUUAAGGUAUCAGGGUUACGGUGUCAGGGUUAAGGUCUCAGGGUUACGGUCUCAGGGUUAACGUCUCAGGGUUAAGGUCUCAGGGUUAAGGUCUCAGGGUUAAGGUGUCAGGGUUAAGGUCUCAGGGUUAAGGUGUCAGGGUUACGGUCUCAGGGUUAAGGUGUCAGGGUUAAGGUGUCAGGGUUAAGGUCUCAGGGUUAAGGUGUCAGGGUUACGGUCUCAGGGUUAAGGUGUCAGGGUUAAGGUGUCAGGGUUAAGGUUUCAGGGUUACGGUCUCAGGGUUAAGGUGUCAGGGUUAAGGUCUCAGGGUUAAGGUCUCAGGGUUAAGGUCUCAGGGUUACGGUGUCAGGGUUAAGGUCUCUGGGUUAAGGUGUCAGGGUUAAGGUGUCAGGGUUAAGGUCUCAGGGUUGCGGUGUCAGGGUUAAGGUCUCCGGGUUAAGGUCUCCGGGUUACGGUGUCAGGGUUACGGUCUCAGGGUUAAGGUGUCAGGGUUACGGUCUCAGGGUUAAGGUCUCAGGGUUACGGUCUCAGGGUUAAGGUGUCAGGGUUACGGUCUCAGGGUUAAGGUCUCAGGGUUACGGUCUCAGGGUUACGGUCUCAGGGUUAAGGUGUCAGGGUUAAGGUUUCAGGGUUAAGGUGUCAGGGUUACGGUCUCAGGGUUAAGGUCUCAGGGUUAAGGUGUCAGGGUUACGGUCUCAGGGUUAAGGUCUCAGGGUUACGGUCUCAGGGUUACGGUCUCAGGGUUAAGGUGUCAGGGUUACGGUCUCAGGGUUAAGGUCUCAGGGUUACGGUCUCAGGGUUACGGUCUCAGGGUUAAGGUGUCAGGGUUACGGUCUCAGGGUUAAGGUGUCAGGGUUAAGGUGUCAGGGUUACGGUCUCAGGGUUAAGGUGUCAAGGUUAAGGUGUCAAGGUUAAGGUGUCAGGGUUACGGUCUCAGGGUUAAGGUGUCAGGGUUAAGGUCUCAGGGUUACGGUUUCAGGGUUAAGGUGUCAGGGUUAAGGUGUCAGGGUUACGGUCUCAGGGUUAAGGUGUCAGGGUUAAGGUGUCAGGGUUAAGGUCUCAGGGUUAAGGUGUCAGGGUUACGGUCUCAGGGUUAAGGUGUCAGGGUUAAGGUGUCAGGGUUAAGGUUUCAGGGUUACGGUCUCAGGGUUAAGGUGUCAGGGUUAAGGUCUCAGGGUUAAGGUCUCAGGGUUAAGGUCUCAGGGUUACGGUGUCAGGGUUAAGGUCUCUGGGUUAAGGUGUCAGGGUUAAGGUGUCAGGGUUAAGGUCUCAGGGUUGCGGUGUCAGGGUUAAGGUGUCAGGGUAACGGUGUCAGGGUUACGGUCUCCGGGUUAAGGUCUCAGGGUUACGGUGUCAGGGUUAAGGUAUCAGGGUUAAGGUGUCAGUGUUAAGGUCUCAUGGUUAAGGUCUCAAGGUUACGGUGUCAGGGUUAGGGUCUCAGGGUUACGGUGUCAGGGUUUAGGUCUCAGGGUUAAGGUCUCAGCGUUAAGGUGUCAGGGUUAAGGUCUCAGCGUUAAGGUGUCAGGGUUAAGGUCUCAGGGUUAAGGUCUCAGCGUUAAGGUGUCAGGGUUAAGGUCUCAGCGUUACGGUGUCAGGGUUUAGGUCUCAGGGUUAGGGUCUCAGGGUUAAGGGUUGUAUGCUUACUCCUCCCUGCCAGUGAAGGUGUAUGAUCGUUUCCAGGGAUUGGGGAGCGA